GAUUAACGCUGGCGGCGUGCAUAACACAUGCAAGUCGAACGAUGAAACUUAGUAGACUUCUUCGGAAAGACACUAAGCGGAUUAGUGGCGAACGGGUGAGUAACGCGUGAGUAACCUGCCUUACACAAGGGGAUAGCCUUUGGAAACGAAGAAUGAUACCCUAUAAAACCAUAAAAGCACAUGCUAGAAUGGUCAAAGUGAUAGCGGUGUAAGAUGGACUUGCGUCUGAUUAGCUAGUUGGUGAGAUAAAAGCUCACCAAGGCAACGAUCAGUAGCCGGCUUGAGAGAGUGUACGGCCACAUUGGGACUGAGACACGGCCCAGACUCCUACGGGAGGCAGCAGUGGGGAAUUUUGCACAAUGGGGGAAACCCUGAUGCAGCGACGCCGCGUGAUUUAGAAGGCCUUCGGGUUGUAAAAAUCUUUUGUAUAGGAAGAAAAUGACAGUACUAUACGAAUAAGGUCCGGCUAAUUACGUG
This 477-nucleotide ribosomal RNA is filed under the name uncultured bacterium. RNAcentral describes it as "partial 16S ribosomal RNA". It matches the Rfam family "Bacterial small subunit ribosomal RNA", at positions 28 to 507 of the family's 1533-position model. The record is from RNAcentral.